This 468-nucleotide ribosomal RNA is filed under the name uncultured bacterium. RNAcentral describes it as "partial 16S ribosomal RNA". It matches the Rfam family "Bacterial small subunit ribosomal RNA", at positions 28 to 507 of the family's 1533-position model. The record is from RNAcentral.
GACGAACGCUGGCGGCGUGCUUAACACAUGCAAGUCGAACGGAAAGGCCCUGCUUUUGUGGGGUGCUCGAGUGGCGAACGGGUGAGUAACACGUGAGUAACCUGCCCUUGACUUUGGGAUAACUUCAGGAAACUGGGGCUAAUACCGGAUAGGAGCUCCUGCUGCAUGGUGGGGGUUGGAAAGUUUCGGCGGUUGGGGAUGGACUCGCGGCUUAUCAGCUUGUUGGUGGGGUAGUGGCUUACCAAGGCUUUGACGGGUAGCCGGCCUGAGAGGGUGACCGGCCACAUUGGGACUGAGAUACGGCCCAGACUCCUACGGGAGGCAGCAGUGGGGAAUAUUGCACAAUGGGCGGAAGCCUGAUGCAGCAACGCCGCGUGCGGGAUGACGGCCUUCGGGGUGUAAACCGCUUUCGCCUGAGACGAAGCGUGAGUGACGGUAAUGGGUAAAGAAGCACCGGCUAACUACGUG